AAAUUCUUGGACCCAUGGCAAAAAAAGAAUAAAAAACAUGUAAGCAAAUUCAAUCGGUACUUUUCCGACACUGAAGCUCAAGAGCAACAGGAAUCAAGUAGCGAUAAGGAGCCUGAAAACCCGAAGGAAAGAUGAGACCAAGAUAAGGUCAGAUAUAAAAGCACUGGAGAAAAGAUCUGGAAACGCCUAUCUCGCAAAUCGGAAGCUCUUUCAUCCGGUAGCCUGAGAAAAACCUUUCCUCUAAGAAGUCGGUGGAGGCCCGA
Molecule: long non-coding RNA, 263 nt
Filed under: Eutrema salsugineum
Lineage: Eukaryota; Viridiplantae; Streptophyta; Magnoliopsida; Brassicales; Brassicaceae
Description: long non-coding RNA (ESAL_LNC001783)
Source: RNAcentral